UUAGGUUAAGUUAGAAAGGGCGCACGGUGGAUGCCUUGGCACUAGGAGCCGAUGAAGGACGGGACUAACACCGAUAUGCUUCGGGGAGCUGUAAGUAAGCUUUGAUCCGGAGAUUUCCGAAUGGGGGAACCCACUGUUCGUAAUGGAACAGUAUCUUUGCCUGAAUACAUAGGGCAUUGAAGGCAGACCCGGGGAACUGAAACAUCUAAGUACCCGGAGGAAGAGAAAGCAAACGCGAUUCCCUGAGUAGCGGCGAGCGAAACGGGACAUAGCCCAAACCAAGAGGCUUGCCUCUUGGGGUUGUAGGACACUCUACAUGGAGUUACAAAGGAACGGGGUAGAUGAAGUGGUCUGGAAAGGCCCGUCAGAGAAGGUAAAAACCCUGUAGUUGAAACUUCGUUCCCUCCUGAGUGGAUCCUGAGUACGGCGGGACACGUGAAAUCCCGUCGGAAGCUGGGAGGACCAUCUCCCAAGGCUAAAUACUCCCUAGUGACCGAUAGUGAACCAGUACCGUGAGGGAAAGGUGAAAAGCACCCCGGAAGGGGAGUGAAAGAGAUCCUGAAACCGUGUGCCUACAAGUAGUCAGAGCCCGUUAAUGGGUGAUGGCGUGCCUUUUGUAGAAUGAACCGGCGAGUUACGAUCCCAUGCAAGGUUAAGUUGAAGAGACGGAGCCGCAGCGAAAGCGAGUCUGAAUAGGGCGAAUGAGUAUGUGGUCGUAGACCCGAAACCAGGUGAUCUACCCAUGUCCAGGGUGAAGGUUGGGUAACACCAACUGGAGGCCCGAACCCACGCACGUUGAAAAGUGCGGGGAUGAGGUGUGGGUAGCGGAGAAAUUCCAAUCGAACUUGGAGAUAGCUGGUUCUCUCCGAAAUAGCUUUAGGGCUAGCCUCACGUUGUAAGAGUCUUGGAGGUAGAGCACUGUUUGGACUAGGGGCCCUCAUCGGGUUACCGAAUUCAGACAAACUCCGAAUGCCAAAGACUUAUCCGUGGGAGUCAGACUGCGAGUGAUAAGAUCCGUAGUCAAAAGGGAAACAGCCCAGACCACCAGCUAAGGUCCCAAAGUAUACGUUAAGUGGAAAAGGAUGUGGAGUUGCUUAGACAACCAGGAUGUUGGCUUAGAAGCAGCCACCAUUUAAAGAGUGCGUAAUAGCUCACUGGUCGAGUGACUCUGCGCCGAAAAUGUACCGGGGCUAAACGUAUCACCGAAGCUGUGG
Molecule: ribosomal RNA, 1214 nt
Filed under: Salmonella enterica subsp. enterica serovar Typhimurium var. 5-
Lineage: Bacteria; Pseudomonadati; Pseudomonadota; Gammaproteobacteria; Enterobacterales; Enterobacteriaceae
Description: partial 23S ribosomal RNA
Rfam family: Bacterial large subunit ribosomal RNA
Source: RNAcentral